RNAcentral lists this transfer RNA (74 nucleotides) under Dichelobacter nodosus VCS1703A. It matches the Rfam family "tRNA". Rfam says of the family: Transfer RNA (tRNA) molecules are approximately 80 nucleotides in length. The record is from Rfam by way of RNAcentral. Lineage: Bacteria; Pseudomonadati; Pseudomonadota; Gammaproteobacteria; Cardiobacteriales; Cardiobacteriaceae.
CGGGGUAUAGCGCAGUCUGGUAGCGCACUUGCAUGGGGUGCAAGGGGUCGCAGGUUCAAAUCCUGUUACCCCGA